AAAAUGGGUAAGAAAUUAGAAGCAGCAUAAAGGCGAUAAAAAGAAGAAGACAAAUCGGGCAAAAAAAGGGUUCACGGGUCACCAAACUGUUGAUUCAACUUUAACCCAUUACCAACAAAUCUCUCAGCAAAUCAUUCACACACCUCACCCUCUGCCCCCACCACUUUAAAGCUCCAUACUAUUGCUAUAUCAUCCUAAAGCUGCUGCUGCAGCUAUAGCUAGGUUUGGCAGUAGUGCAAAAUUUCUUGAGAGAUAGGAGGUGGGUUUUGUUUCUUCUUGGUGGAUCGCCAUGUCUUCUUCUCCUUAUUCUUCUUGUUGUUGUUGGGUGAAAAUUUUAUUGUCUCUAGUUGUGUUGGUCACGUGGGGGUGUCUGGAAGGUGCAAACGGUGCAUCCUCUACAGUGAAAGUGAGUAACAUAUCAAAGAUAGAAGGAGCAGUGAACUUCCAUCUUUAUUAUGGACAGACCUUUAAAGUCAUCAAGAAUGUCGUUGAUGGCAAGAGCUACCUCCUCAUUCAGAAUAACUCAAGAAUGGCAACAAGGACAAAAUAUUGCACCUCAAGGAUCAAGUCUUUUGUCAUCCCACUCUCAAAUUUUUCUGCUGAUACCUACUUCUUUCCAGUUUCCUUUUUCGAGCUAUUGGGCAUACUAGAGAGUAUGAAAGGCAUUACAUCAGAUUCUGUGGCUUCUGAAUGUGCCUUAAAGUUAUAUGAAAGAGGAGAAACUGAGAUGAUUAACAGAAGUGACCCACAAUUAUUUGCUCAAUUUUCAGCCCAUUUUGUUAGUGAUACUGAUCAAACUCAGGCUUGUAAUUUUGCAAAUUUUGCUCCUUUUGGAGAGGAUUACCCUCUGCAGAGAGCAGAGUGGAUCAAGUUCUUAGGAGUUUUUGCAAACCUUGAGUCCAGAGCCAAUCAAGUCUAUGGCACAGUCAGGGACAACUAUCUAUGCCAAGCUAAGGUUGCAGCAAAUAAAACAAGAACCUUUAAACCAAUAGUUGCUUGGAUGGAGUAUUACAAUGGUAUAUGGUCUUUCACAAAGGAAACAUACAAGUUGAAGUAUGUGGAAGAUGCAGGUGGAGAAAAUAUUGAUAACUCUAUCAACAAGAUCACUUACAACGUCUCAAAUGCUGAUGACUUGGAUGAAUUACAUGCAAUUCUAUGUACUGUGGAUGUGGUGAUUGAUGAAACAUACACUCUUGAUCCAGCUGAGUACAAUCAAUCAACCUUUCUUCAAAAUGUAAAUGUUGAAGAUAACUCUUGCUUUGCAUUUCUCACUAAUCAAAGCUUAUGGAGAUAUGAUAAAAGAGUCCAAAACUCAACUGCACUUGACUGGUUUGAUGGAGCAGUCUCCCAACCCCAAUUGGUUCUAGCAGAUCUUAUCGAAGCUAUAUUCCCCACUGGAAAUUACACAACAAAAUAUUUUAGAAAUAUUGCAAAGGUAUUUUUUGUUCUUUUUGGCAAUGGCUAAAAAUGCAAAUAUAACAAGAGUAUGCUAUAUGACUGAACUUUAGUCGACAAAUUAUAUAUUAAUUAUAUCUAAUAUGCAGGGAGAACGGAUUAUAAGCAUUGGAGCUAACAUGUGUGAUAGAGAUAUCUCCAUUCCAAUGGAGCCUACAAUACUAGCUUGUCAAUGAUGACACUUUAUAUUUGAAAAUUUGAUUCGUUUUUCAUCCAUUGUUUUAAUAAUUUUAUUUAAUUUUCAUUUAAGAUUGUGAAUGUGUUCCAAGUGAAAGCAUUAUUGCUUAUGAUCUUAAUAGUACAAUUUUCUUAUCUAGAUGGGUUCUUUUGUUAGGCAAUUUCUUUGUAUUUUAUUUCCAAGCACGAUACAAAAUAAUAAAAUAAAAACAUUAUUUGGGUUAGAGAGAGG
This 1864-nucleotide unclassified non-coding RNA is filed under the name Hevea brasiliensis (rubber tree). The record is from RNAcentral. Lineage: Eukaryota; Viridiplantae; Streptophyta; Magnoliopsida; Malpighiales; Euphorbiaceae.